UAGUCCUUCACUUUUCAUUCCAUCAAUUAAUGGGUCUCUCAAUUCCGUUCGUGAUAUGACAAGCUAAAUAUGUUGUUUGCUUUUCAACCCUUGUUCACUUACCCCCUUCUGCUCUUUGCUGACUUCUUCCUUGAUAAUUGUAGUCGGCUUUGAAGCAGGCGUUGUUCCUUUAAACCUCGAAGGCUUGGGCCCUCCAGACACCACAAUAAGCACCACUGCCACCUCUAUCCUUCCUCUCCAUUUUCCGUUUGCCACCUC
This 258-nucleotide unclassified non-coding RNA is filed under the name Hevea brasiliensis (rubber tree). Lineage: Eukaryota; Viridiplantae; Streptophyta; Magnoliopsida; Malpighiales; Euphorbiaceae. The record is from RNAcentral.